CGGUGUAGCUCAGUUGGUAGAGCAGCGCAUUCGUAAUGCGAAGGUCGGAGGUUCAAGUCCCCUCUCCGG
RNAcentral lists this transfer RNA (69 nucleotides) under Turicimonas muris. It matches the Rfam family "tRNA". Rfam says of the family: Transfer RNA (tRNA) molecules are approximately 80 nucleotides in length. Their secondary structure includes four short double-helical elements and three loops (D, anti-codon, and T loops). Further hydrogen bonds mediate the characteristic L-shaped molecular structure. tRNAs have two regions of fundamental functional importance: the anti-codon, which is responsible for specific mRNA codon recognition, and the 3' end, to which the tRNAs corresponding amino acid is attached (by aminoacyl-tRNA synthetases). tRNAs cope with the degeneracy of the genetic code in two manners: having more than one tRNA (with a specific anti-codon) for a particular amino acid; and 'wobble' base-pairing, i.e. permitting non-standard base-pairing at the 3rd anti-codon position. RNAcentral also lists the same sequence under 1 other name. Lineage: Bacteria; Pseudomonadati; Pseudomonadota; Betaproteobacteria; Burkholderiales; Sutterellaceae. The record is from RNAcentral.